UUCUCUGGAAAAGAUACUUCAACUCACAGGACUGCGAUGUUGAAACGGACACCCAAGAGCAUCACAGAUGGGCCAGGCCUGGACCUCUCGGGACAACAUUCCUCACGACUUUUAGAUAGAAGAGAUUAGAGAUUUGGGACUGGUGGCAACUGGUAACGUUUUCAGUGUUUGGUAAACAGCCAGGGUCCGGAGCUCUGGGAACAGCCUGAUUUAGCUCUUUGUUUAAGUUUUGUGUUAGAGGCUCCCAAGAAGCUGAUGCAGGGGAAAGAAAUUAACAACCAUGGCUCAUUCACAGCCAGGCAGCCAAAUGGACAGCUCUAUAAGACUCAAGCCGACAGCGGAGAGAGUGCAACCAAACAGCCUUGGCCCAGCUUUCAGAGGAGAACGUUAUUCACCCCAACUGCUCUGCAUCUGCCUGGAUGUCUGCCAAGAUCUGUGAGCAUUACAGCGUUGCAGUCUUCUUUCCACCAAUGACCCCUCGCGCUGCUUCCAGAAGCCAAGAAAGUGGGCUUUGUCCUUGGGGAUUUAGGAGGCGGAGCGGCGCCCCCUUGAGGCCACAUGGUGGAGGCAGCGAUGAGACCUGGAGUCUAAAAUUCAGACUGAAUCACAGGAAGAAGCUAUUUACACAAGUCAAACAUGGUCCAAUCUUGGCAAUUUCAUAAGGUUCCAAUCCUUAAGGGAUCAAAACCUGGCCAACUGCUUCCACCGAGAGGUGUGCCUUUCAAUGCCAGGCUUGGAGUGUCCCUCUUUAUUUAAAAAGGAGAGGAUUCCACAGCAGAGCUUCUCAAACUCUUCCACCCAAAUCCCCUCACCACAGAGGGACAGGAGUCCUGGGCAUGUAGCCUAAAGCAGCCAGGAGAAAAAAACCUUGACCUUAAUUUUUUUAAUGAUUUCACAUGAAUCAGUGGAAUGUGUUUAUGAUAAAAUCAUCUCCUCCUGAAAUACAUGUGUAAAACUGCUGCCCCAGUUAAACGCACUUAGUCUAACCAAGCCCUAGGAUUGGCCUCUCCAGCAUGAGAAGCAUUUCCAGCACUCCAGCUCCCCAGCUCCCACUCUGGGAUCCCACCUCAGACCCUCCCACUUCCUUGCACUCUGGCCUCUCGCUCUUGACCCUGCUCCCGCCACGCUCUUUCCUCAGAGUCCAUCAGUCCUGUCUUGUCUUCACCUUGGUCUCUGCCAAGUGUGGGUCCAAGUCAUAUAUUUGGGCUGUGAUCACAGGAACCCCAAGCCCCAGACCUCCCAAAGCACCCUAUGGAGAGACCUUACCCUCCUGGACAGACCCUCUCCCCCCAGCUAGACCUCAUCCUCUGGGUAGACCCAUCUCCCCAACCAGAACUCACCCUCCUGAGUAAACCCCAUCCCCCUAGCUAGACUUCAUCCUCCUGGACAGAUCCCAUCCCCCCAGCUAGACCUCACCCUCUUGGGUAGAUGCAUCUCCCCAACCAGAACUCUCCUGGGUAGACCCCUUCUACCCAGCUAGACCUGAUCCUCUGGACAGACCCCAUCAUCCCAGCUAGACUUCUCCCUCCUGGACUGUCCCCAUCCCCCCUCCAGCCAGACCUCACCCCUCUGGGUAGACCCCAUCCCCCCAACUAGACCUCACCCUCCUGGAUGGACUCUACCCUCCUGGAGAUACCUUCCCCUCCUGGGUACAUCCCACGUGGCUACACACUCCUUCCCCUGUCAGCUUUCUCCCCCAGGGUUCUGGGCAGCAGAGUCUGUGAUAAAGGAUACUAAGUGAUUCCCCAAUACUUCCCGUUUCCAGCCUCCAGUGGGCUCUCCCUGGGGCUAACGGUUCUUUUUGCUAUUUCUCCAGGCUUUGCCUGAUGACAAGUAUACUCUGAGAGUGUCCUAAUGAUACAGAUUUUGGACCCUAUCCCAGUUCUACUGAAUCCAAGUCUCUGGGGGAGGAGUUGGGGCUCUGCAUCUGGACACCUUCCUGCAGGGUCCCUCCUGGGAGGCAAGCCCGGGGAGCACCGCUGAGGCUCGCCUCAGUGCCCAUCCUAGACCUUCAGCAGCUAGCAGAGGAUGUCCCCACCAUCCCUCAGCCCACACUCCCACUGUCGCCCCAGCCAGGCUUGGCACUGCCUCCUUUCUCAGAAGAUUAAGACCAUCUGCUGUUUCCCAAGUUUCCCACCCUCCACCCUAAAAAUUUCUCCGUUUCCCAGUCUUUCCUCGUCUCUCAGAAAAUAAACAUCUUCCCAGGCUGCCUCCCCAGUGGGUCUGCACUCCUUGCUGUCUUCCCAGCACCUGCCCUUCCAGCCCGCCCUCUGUGUGUCCAGUGUUUCCCUCACCAAAGGACUCGCUUUGUUUUUCAAAUUGGAGGUUUUGUCUUCUCCCUAAAAACCAAAACAUCUCCCUGAGAAGUAACUCCCUCAAGCUACUGAUACGGAAGGGGGGCGGGGAAGUGCUGGGAAGGGAAGGGUGUGGUCCCUGGCUAGGGCUCCACCCCCGGGCCUGUGCCCACAGACCUAGGUGAGGACAGGCAUUUCUGUUUUCGUGCUUAAAUGUUGGAUUUCCCAAGACUACCCUGGCCUACCACACCCUCAUUCUGUGCCUGUAAAAAAACCUGAGAGCUUAGCAGGCACGCACACAAGCCUCUGGACGUCAAGAGGAACACACCGGUGUAAGAGCAGACUGAUAGUGGCCCACGGCAGGCUGGCAGGCCAUCGACAGGCAGAACCACUCAGUGCAGCUGGAGGACAGCCUGGCCACGGAGCGGUCCGACUUCAGAGGGGAAAACCACCUCCCCACUCCGUCUCCCUUCUGGCUCCCCCAUCUGAGAGCUACUUCCACUCAAUAAAAC
RNAcentral lists this long non-coding RNA (2806 nucleotides) under Homo sapiens (human). RNAcentral describes it as "non-protein coding lnc-F13A1-3:13". Lineage: Eukaryota; Metazoa; Chordata; Mammalia; Primates; Hominidae. The record is from RNAcentral.